UGAGUAAGCCAGAUGGUCGCUGCCGCGUAUGCGGGAGAGGAAAGUCCGAGCUCCAUAGGGCAGGGUGCCGGGUAACCCCCGGUGGAGGCGACUCUAAGGAAAGUGCAACAGAGAUAUACCGCCAGAAUCAGCUUUGUCUGAUGAGCGCAGCUUUGCUGCCUGGUAAGGGUGGAAAGGUGAGGUAAGAGCUCACCAGCACACUGGCGACAGUGUGGCUCUGUAAACCCCACCUGGAGCAAGACCAAAUAGGAAAGCAUUUUACGCUGGCCCGGCGUGCUUUCGGGUAAGGUUGCUUGAGCUGUCUGGUAACAGGCAGCCUAGAUAGAUGACCGUCAAAUACAGAACUCGGCUUAUAGACUUACUCAAUUA
Molecule: non-coding RNA, 369 nt
Organism: Caloramator quimbayensis
Lineage: Bacteria; Bacillati; Bacillota; Clostridia; Eubacteriales; Clostridiaceae
Source: Rfam